Molecule: transfer RNA, 67 nt
Filed under: Conwentzia sinica
Lineage: Eukaryota; Metazoa; Arthropoda; Insecta; Neuroptera; Coniopterygidae
Description: tRNA-Gln
Source: RNAcentral
UACAUUUUAGUAUAAUUGUAUAUAAAAUUUUGAAUUUUAUGGAAAUAAUUAAAAUUAUUAAAUGUAA